GCCGGAGUGGCGGAAUCGGCAGACGCGCUGGAUUCAAAAUCCAGUGGGGGUAAACCCCGUGCGGGUUCAAGUCCCGCCUCCGGUACUA
This 88-nucleotide transfer RNA is filed under the name Gimesia sp. Its description in RNAcentral is "tRNA-Leu". It matches the Rfam family "tRNA". From Rfam's summary of the family: Transfer RNA (tRNA) molecules are approximately 80 nucleotides in length. Their secondary structure includes four short double-helical elements and three loops (D, anti-codon, and T loops). Lineage: Bacteria; Pseudomonadati; Planctomycetota; Planctomycetia; Planctomycetales; Planctomycetaceae. The record is from RNAcentral.